RNAcentral lists this ribosomal RNA (253 nucleotides) under uncultured bacterium. RNAcentral describes it as "partial 16S ribosomal RNA". It matches the Rfam family "Bacterial small subunit ribosomal RNA", at positions 524 to 776 of the family's 1533-position model. The record is from RNAcentral.
UACGAAGGGGGCUAGCGUUGCUCGGAAUCACUGGGCGUAAAGGGUGCGUAGGCGGCUCUUUAAGUCAGGGGUGAAAUCCUGGAGCUCAACUCCAGAACUGCCUUUGAUACUGAGGAUCUCGAGUUCGGGAGAGGUGAGUGGAACUGCGAGUGUAGAGGUGAAAUUCGUAGAUAUUCGCAAGAACACCAGUGGCGAAGGCGGCUCACUGGCCCGAUACUGACGCUGAGGCACGAAAGCGUGGGGAGCAAACAGG